RNA transcript from Lycium barbarum (goji berry), 1936 nucleotides. It is a transcript of the gene named asparagine synthetase [glutamine-hydrolyzing] 2, with no coding region annotated. NCBI's taxonomy places the organism in Eukaryota, Viridiplantae, Streptophyta, Magnoliopsida, Solanales, Solanaceae. The transcript is spliced from 15 exons. The record is from RefSeq and is a predicted model, not a curated record.
AAUCUUUCCAAAACUGGUCAGAGAAAUUAACGGCUCUGAUUAAUUUAAACUCAACAUAUAUAUAUAUAUUAAACAACCUCUUUCCUAUCAUUUCGUUGUAACCAGUAAUCACUUUUCUUCAUUUCAAAAGAGAGAAAAAAAAUGUGUGGAAUACUUGCUGUUUUUGGUUGCAUUGAUAAUUCUCAGGCUAAACGUUCAAGAAUCAUCGAACUUUCUAGAAGGUUGCGCCACAGAGGACCUGAUUGGAGUGGAUUGCAUACCCAUGAUGACUGUUAUCUUGCUCAUCAACGGUUGGCAAUAGUGGACCCAACUUCUGGAGAUCAGCCACUGUAUAAUGAGGACAAGACCAUUAUUGUUGCGGUUAACGGGGAGAUCUAUAACCAUAUGGAAUUACGGGAAAAACUGAAGUCCCAUCAAUUUCGAACUGGCAGUGACUGUGAAGUUAUUGCCCAUCUUUAUGAAGAAUAUGGAGAAAACUUCGUCGACAUGUUGGAUGGGAUGUUCUCUUUUGUUCUUCUUGACACCCGCGAUAAAAGUUACAUCGCUGCUCGGGAUGCCAUUGGCAUUACACCCCUUUAUAUGGGGUGGGGCCUUGAUGGGUCCAUAUGGUUUUCCUCAGAGAUGAAAGCCUUAAGUGAUGAUUGUGAGCGAUUUGUUAGCUUCCUUCCCGGUCAUAUUUAUUCAAGCAAAAAUGGAGGACUUCGAAGAUGGUACAACCCACCAUGGUUUUCGGAAACCAUUCCUUCUACUCCAUACGAUCACCUUGUCUUACGGAAGGCUUUUGAGAAGGCUGUAGUUAAGAGACUCAUGACGGAUGUACCAUUUGGUGUGCUUCUCUCAGGCGGACUGGAUUCUUCACUUGUUGCUGCAGUGGCUAACCGUUAUUUGGCUGAUACAGAAGCUGGUCGACAAUGGGGAUCACAGUUGCAUACGUUUUGUGUGGGCUUGAAGGGUUCUCCUGAUCUGAAAGCUGCCAGAGAGGUGGCAGACUACCUUGGAACUCGCCACCAUGAGUUUCACUUUACAGUGCAGGAAGGAAUUGAUGCACUAGAGGAAGUCAUAUAUCAUGUUGAAACAUAUGAUGUGACCACUAUCAGAGCCAGUACACCAAUGUUUCUCAUGUCUCGGAAGAUAAAGUCCUUGGGUGUGAAAAUGGUUUUAUCUGGUGAAGGUUCUGAUGAAAUUUUUGGUGGUUAUUUAUAUUUCCAUAAGGCACCCAACAAAGAGGAGUUUCACCAAGAAACUUGUAGAAAGAUUAAAGCACUUCAUCUUUAUGAUUGCUUGAGGGCCAAUAAAUCUACUUCUGCUUGGGGUGUUGAAGCUCGUGUACCUUUCUUGGAUAAAGAAUUUAUCAAUGUUGCAAUGGACAUCGAUCCAGAAUGGAAAAUGAUCAGACCUGAUCUUGGAAGAAUAGAAAAGUGGGUUGUACGCAAUGCUUUUGACGAUGAUCAGAAUCCUUAUCUGCCAAAGCAUAUUUUGUAUAGGCAGAAGGAACAGUUCAGUGAUGGAGUUGGCUACAGUUGGAUUGAUGGUUUGAAAGAUCACGCAAACAGUCUGGUUUCUGAUUCUAUGUUAGUGAACGCAAAUUUCGUUUACCCGCAUAACACACCCACAACAAAGGAAGGGUACUACUACAGAACUAUUUUUGAGCGAUAUUUCCCCAAGAAUGCUGCAAGGGAGACGGUUCCAGGUGGUCCAAGUGUGGCAUGCAGCACUGCAAAAGCAGUAGAAUGGGAUGCAGCUUGGUCCAAGAAUCUAGAUCCUUCUGGUCGAGCUGCUCUCGGUGUUCAUGCAGCUGCUUAUGAGGAUAAAGCUGCAGUAGCUGUUUGAUUGUAUAUCUUCAUUCACAGCUUGAAGUUCAUCCUGGUGUAACAUAUUCAAAAGAUGCUCUUUUUCACAGUUUACUUGAGAAGAAAUAUGCAUGACUUGUGAAAAA